RNAcentral lists this ribosomal RNA (497 nucleotides) under uncultured bacterium. Its description in RNAcentral is "partial 16S ribosomal RNA". It matches the Rfam family "Bacterial small subunit ribosomal RNA", at positions 28 to 507 of the family's 1533-position model. The record is from RNAcentral.
GACGAACGCUGGCGGCGUGCCUAAUACAUGCAAGUUGAGCGCUGAAGGUUGGUACUUGUACCAACUGGAUGAGCAGCGAACGGGUGAGUAACGCGUGGGGAAUCUGCCUUUGAGCGGGGGACAACAUUUGGAAACGAAUGCUAAUACCGCAUAAAAACUUUAAACACAAGUUUUAAGUUUGAAAGAUGCAAUUGCAUCACUCAAAGAUGAUCCCGCGUUGUAUUAGCUAGUUGGUGAGGUAAAGGCUCACCAAGGCGAUGAUACAUAGCCGACCUGAGAGGGUGAGCAGCCACAUUGGGACUGAGACACGGCCCAAACGCCUACGGGAGGCAGCAGUAGUGAAUCUUCGGCAAUAGACGAAAGUCUGAGCGAGCAACGCCGCGGGAGUGAAGAAGGUUGUCGGAUCGUAAAACUCUGUUGGUAGAGAAGAACGUUGGUGAGAGUGGAAAGCUCAUCAAGUGACGGUAACUACCCAGAAAGGGACGGCUAACUACGUG